AGAUCCCACUAGGGGCGCCUCCGGGCUGAGAGGCAGUUAAAUGCCGACCCUAAGGACCUGAUCUGGAUCAUGCCAGCGUAGGGAAGUGGAAAAAUCGGACU
This 101-nucleotide non-coding RNA is filed under the name Desulfotomaculum sp. Its description in RNAcentral is "TPP sequence". It matches the Rfam family "TPP riboswitch aptamer (THI element)". From Rfam's summary of the family: Vitamin B(1) in its active form thiamin pyrophosphate (TPP) is an essential coenzyme that is synthesised by coupling of pyrimidine and thiazole moieties in bacteria. The previously detected thiamin-regulatory element, thi box was extended, resulting in a new, highly conserved RNA secondary structure, the THI element, which is widely distributed in eubacteria and also occurs in some archaea. Analysis of operon structures identified a large number of new candidate thiamin-regulated genes, mostly transporters, in various prokaryotic organisms. The record is from RNAcentral. Lineage: Bacteria; Bacillati; Bacillota; Clostridia; Eubacteriales; Desulfotomaculaceae.